Unclassified non-coding RNA from Pongo abelii (Sumatran orangutan), 117 nucleotides. It matches the Rfam family "Metazoan signal recognition particle RNA". From Rfam's summary of the family: The signal recognition particle (SRP) is a universally conserved ribonucleoprotein. It is involved in the co-translational targeting of proteins to membranes. NCBI's taxonomy places the organism in Eukaryota, Metazoa, Chordata, Mammalia, Primates, Hominidae. The record is from Ensembl.
GCCGGGCGUGGUGGCUCACGCCUGUAAUCCCAGCACUCUGGGAGGCCGAGGUGGGUGGAUCACCUGAGGUCAGGAGUUCAAGACCAGCCUGGCCAACAUGGUGAAACCCCGUCUCUA